RNAcentral lists this ribosomal RNA (117 nucleotides) under Zingiber officinale. Lineage: Eukaryota; Viridiplantae; Streptophyta; Magnoliopsida; Zingiberales; Zingiberaceae. The record is from RNAcentral.
GCGAUCAUACUAGCACUAAUGCACCUGAUCCCAUCAGAACUUUGAAGUUAAGUGUCCUUGGGCGAGACUCCAGUACUAGGAUGAGUCGCCCUUUAAUAAAAAUAUGUUAUCAAUGUG